This is a small nuclear RNA of Mastomys coucha (southern multimammate mouse), 103 nucleotides long. The record is from RefSeq and is a predicted model, not a curated record. NCBI's taxonomy places the organism in Eukaryota, Metazoa, Chordata, Mammalia, Rodentia, Muridae.
UUGCUUUGGUAGCAUAUAUACUAAAAUUAGAUCAACGCAGAGAAGAUUAGCAUGGUCCUUAAGUAAAGAUGAUAUACAAAUUCAUGAAGAAUUCCAUAUUUCC